Molecule: ribosomal RNA, 497 nt
Filed under: uncultured bacterium
Lineage: Bacteria
Description: partial 16S ribosomal RNA
Rfam family: Bacterial small subunit ribosomal RNA
Source: RNAcentral
GAUGAACGCUGGCGGCGUGCCUAAUACAUGCAAGUCGAGCGAACGGACGAGAAGCUUGCUUCUCUAAUGUUAGCGGCGGACGGGUGAGUAACACGUGGAUAACCUACCUAUAAGACUGGGAUAACUUCGGGAAACCGUAGCUAAUACCGGAUAAUAUUUUGAACCGCAUGGUUCAAAAGUGAAAGACGGUCUUGCUGUCACUUAUAGAUGGAUCCGCGCUGCAUUAGCUAGUUGGUAAGGUAACGGCUUACCAAGGCAACGAUGCAUAGCCGACCUGAGAGGGUGAUCGGCCACACUGGAACUGAGACACGGUCCAGACUCCUACGGGAGGCAGCAGUAGGGAAUCUUCCGCAAUGGGCGAAAGUCUGACGGAGCAACGCCGCGUGAGUGAUGAAGGUCUUCGGAUCGUAAAACUCUGUUAUUAGGGAAGAACAUAUGUGUAAGUAACUGUGCACAUCUUGACGGUACCUAAUCAGAAAGCCACGGCUAACUACGUG